Transfer RNA from Aspergillus terreus NIH2624, 106 nucleotides. It matches the Rfam family "tRNA". Rfam says of the family: Transfer RNA (tRNA) molecules are approximately 80 nucleotides in length. Their secondary structure includes four short double-helical elements and three loops (D, anti-codon, and T loops). The record is from Rfam. NCBI's taxonomy places the organism in Eukaryota, Fungi, Ascomycota, Eurotiomycetes, Eurotiales, Aspergillaceae.
ACCCCUGUAGCUUAGUGGUUAGAGCAUUGUGCUUAUAUGGGCAAGUCUUUGACGGCUUAUAUGAAAACACUCGCAAGGGUCGGCGGUUCGAACCCGCCCAGGGGUA